GCCUCUGUAGCUCAGUGGUAGAGCGUCUGACUUGUAAUCAGACGGCCGGGGGUUCAGCAACCGAGAAACU
This 70-nucleotide transfer RNA is filed under the name Promethearchaeota archaeon. RNAcentral describes it as "Candidatus Lokiarchaeota archaeon tRNA-Thr". The stretch from base 1 to 54 matches the Rfam family "tRNA". Rfam says of the family: Transfer RNA (tRNA) molecules are approximately 80 nucleotides in length. Their secondary structure includes four short double-helical elements and three loops (D, anti-codon, and T loops). The record is from RNAcentral. Lineage: Archaea; Promethearchaeati; Promethearchaeota.